Molecule: ribosomal RNA, 597 nt
Filed under: Tomentella griseocastanea
Lineage: Eukaryota; Fungi; Basidiomycota; Agaricomycetes; Thelephorales; Thelephoraceae
Description: partial large subunit ribosomal RNA
Rfam family: Eukaryotic large subunit ribosomal RNA
Source: RNAcentral
UAAGCAUAUCAAUAAGCGGAGGAAAAGAAACUAACAAGGAUUCCCCUAGUAACUGCGAGUGAAGCGGGAAGAGCUCAAAUUUAAAAUCUGGCGUGCCUCUGGUCGUCCGAGUUGUAGUCUGGAGAAGCGUUUUCCGUGUUGGACCGUGUAUAAGUCUCUUGGAACAGGGCGUCAUAGAGGGUGAGAAUCCCGUCUUUGACACGGACUACCAAUGCUUUGUGAUGCGCUCUCAAAGAGUCGAGUUGUUUGGGAAUGCAGCUCAAAAUGGGUGGUAAAUUCCAUCUAAAGCUAAAUAUAGGCGAGAGACCGAUAGCGAACAAGUACCGUGAGGGAAAGAUGAAAAGCACUUUGGAAAGAGAGUUAAACAGUACGUGAAAUUGCUGAAAGGGAAACGCUUGAAGUCAGUCACGUCUGCCAGGACUCAGCCUUGCUUCUGCUUGGUGUACUUUCUGGUUUGAUGGGCCAACAUCAAUUUCGACCGUUGGAGAAAGGCUUUGGGAAUGUGGCACCUUCGGGUGUGUUAUAGCCCUUUGUUGUAUACAACGGUUGGGAUUGAGGACUGCAGCACGCCUUUAUGGCCGGGGUUCGCCCACGUAC